GAAAGGAGCAGGUGUUAUUCAAAUUAACUGGGCGUAAAGGGCAUGUAGGUGGUUUGUUAUGUGUACUGGUAAAUUGCAAAGCUUAACUUUGUAAAUCAGUAUAUACAGCUAAACUUGAGUUAGGUAGAAGGUAGUAGAAUUUCUAAUGUAAAGGCGAAAUUUGAUAAAAUUAGAGAGAAUACCAAAGGCGUAGGCAACUACCUAAGCCUUAACUGACACUGAGGUGCGAAAGCAUGGGGAGCAAAUAGGAUUAGAUACCCUAGUAGUCCAUGCAGUAAACGAUGAAUAUUAAAUGUUGGGAGAAUCUCAGUAUUACAGCUAACGCGUUAAAUAUUCCGCCUGGGGAGUACAAUCGCAAGAUUG
RNAcentral lists this ribosomal RNA (363 nucleotides) under uncultured bacterium. Its description in RNAcentral is "bacterial SSU rRNA". It matches the Rfam family "Bacterial small subunit ribosomal RNA", at positions 527 to 896 of the family's 1533-position model. The record is from RNAcentral.